Molecule: long non-coding RNA, 326 nt
Organism: Seriola aureovittata
Lineage: Eukaryota; Metazoa; Chordata; Actinopteri; Carangiformes; Carangidae
Exons: 2
Source: RefSeq, a predicted model, not a curated record
GUCCAAUCCUCCCGGAGACACCUGUUGGAGCACCGACUGGCUGGUCGCCAUGGCGUUGCUAUUGUGGUGACUGAUGGUCGUGGAGGAGGUGACCUCACCGGGGCCUUGGCUGUAACGCACUGAGAAAGAGAGACAGAACAGGAAGGUUCGCUGCCGACCUCGUCACCAGGCUGACCCAUGCCCUGACCAGACGGGUUGAACUCUGGGAAAAAAAACACCGGAUCCUGAUUGCCUUUGUCUGUCAUAUUGCUGCCAGAACCUUGCACUGCCUGGUUGAACUCUGAAAAAUAAGAAGAGGUACAUUCAAUAAAAGUGAUUUCACAAUU